CACUCCUACGGGAGGCAGCAGUGGGGAAUUUUGGACAAUGGGCGAAAGCCUGAUCCAGCAAUGCCGCGUGCAGGAUGAAGGCCUUCGGGUUGUAAACUGCUUUUGUACGGAACGAAAAAGCUCCUUCUAAUACAGGGGGCCCAUGACGGUACCGUAAGAAUAAGCACCGGCUAACUACGUGCCAGCAGCCGCGGUAAUACGUAGGGUGCGAGCGUUAAUCGGAAUUACUGGGCGUAAAGCGUGCGCAGGCGGUUAUGUAAGACAGAUGUGAAAUCCCCGGGCUCAACCUGGGAACUGCAUUUGUGACUGCAUGGCUAGAGUACGGUAGAGGGGGAUGGAAUUCCGCGUGUAGCAGUGAAAUGCGUAGAUAUGCGGAGGAACACCGAUGGCGAAGGCAAUCCCCUGGACCUGUACUGACGCUCAUGCACGAAAGCGUGGGGAGCAAACAGGAUUAGAAACCCCAGUAGUCCCAUG
This 474-nucleotide ribosomal RNA is filed under the name uncultured organism. Its description in RNAcentral is "partial 16S ribosomal RNA". It matches the Rfam family "Bacterial small subunit ribosomal RNA", at positions 334 to 799 of the family's 1533-position model. The record is from RNAcentral.